RNAcentral lists this long non-coding RNA (365 nucleotides) under Heterocephalus glaber (naked mole-rat). RNAcentral's name for it is "lncRNA (ENSHGLG00000032494.1)". The record is from RNAcentral. Lineage: Eukaryota; Metazoa; Chordata; Mammalia; Rodentia; Bathyergidae.
CUCAGGUCCCAGAGGCACUACCCAUCUCCAACUCAUCCAAUCAAUAGCCAGUUAGAGCUGAGAAGAAACAAGAAUUUUCAGCUAUGUAUAGAACCAUUGUCUCCUUACCUGAGCCAGGUGAUACCUUCUGAAGGAGGUGAGCAAGCAGCUAGGGUCAUCUCACAAGCCUGAUAGGAACUGUCAUUAAUGGACCUCAGCAACUUUCCUCACUCCUUCAAGAAUCUGUACCUGUUACUUUUCAAUCAACUACUUGGAGAAAAAAAAAUGAAAGAGAUUUAGCUGAGAAUUGGAUGAGUUCAGCAAUGGAAGCAUGAACAGAUUUUUACUGGAGAAAUUGGUAAGAUCAUCCUUGAUAGGUACUGGAG